GAAGUAUCUUGGUAUGUAAACCUCUUUUCUCAAGAAAGAAGUUCUGACGGUACUUGAGGAAUAAGCAUCGGCUAACUCCGUGCCAGCAGCCGCGGUAAUACGGAGGAUCCAAGCGUUAUCCGGAAUCAUUGGGUUUAAAGGGUCCGUAGGUGGAUAGAUAAGUCAGAGGUGAAAUCCUGCAGCUCAACUGUAGAAUUGCCUUUGAUACUGGUCGUCUUGAAUUAUUGUGAAGUGGUUAGAAUAUGUAGUGUAGCGGUGAAAUGCAUAGAUAUUACAUAGAAUACCGAUUGCGAAGGCAGAUCACUAACAAUAUAUUGACACUGAUGGACGAAAGCGUGGGGAGCGAACGGGAUUAGAUACCCCGGUAGUCCACGCCGUAAACGAUGGUCACUAGCUGUUCGGACUUCGGUCUGAGUGGCUAAGCGAAAGUGAUAAGUGACCCACCUGGGGAGUACGUUCGCAAGAAUGAAACUCAAAGGAAUUGACGGGGGCCCGCACAAGCGGUGGAGCAUGU
Molecule: ribosomal RNA, 514 nt
Filed under: Isochrysis galbana
Lineage: Eukaryota; Haptophyta; Isochrysidales; Isochrysidaceae
Description: partial Bacterial small subunit ribosomal RNA
Rfam family: Bacterial small subunit ribosomal RNA
Source: RNAcentral